Thrips palmi is the source of this 644-nucleotide long non-coding RNA. RefSeq lists it as uncharacterized. The record is from RefSeq and is a predicted model, not a curated record. The transcript is spliced from 3 exons. Lineage: Eukaryota; Metazoa; Arthropoda; Insecta; Thysanoptera; Thripidae.
CCGCGCCUCGCUUUGCGCGCGCUUUUGAAGCGGGUCGCGGAAGCGCGCGGCGGAUUCGCGCGUUUAAGCACACCGACGCGUGGAGCGUGGUGCGAGGAGUGUGGUGCCCAGCCCGACGGGAUCCACGCCCGGCCUGACGGCCUGGCUGGUCUGGCACGCUGAUUGCUCCGAAACACCGUCGAUUGCUGCGUGGGACAGCCCGGGCGUGCUAUCCCGCGGGCCAGCGCACAGCGCACCUCGUUUCCACGCCAUUGGGGCCGAAAUGUGUUGACUCGGCGCGCUGUGCUGGGGGCUGCGGGGCCACCACCUCCAGGGCGACCACCUCCAGGGCGACCACUUCCAGGGCCACCACCUCCAGGGCUACCACCUCCAGGGCGACCACCUCCAGGACGACCACCUCCAGGGCGACCACCUCCAGGACGACCACUUCCAGGGCGACCACCUCCAGGGCGACCACUUCCAGGGCCACCACCUCCAGGGCUACCACCUCCAGGGCCGGGGCGAAGAGGAAUGGCGCUAUGGCUGUUGCUGCAGGCCCUGGUGGCCGUGGUCUCGGGGUCGGCGCUAACCAGAGAUAUUGAUCCUUCAGCGCCGUGCCCGGCCAGCAACCUGGUCUGCGACGGCGGCCGCUGCGUGGACUACAC